AGAAUUUUGGUCAAUGGGCGAAAGCCUGAUCCAGCAAUACCGCGUGCAGGAUGAAGGCCUUCAGGUUGUAAAACUUCUUUAGUACGGAACGAAACGGUCUGCCCUAAUACGGCGGGUAAAGACAGUACCGUAAAGAAUAAGCACCGGCUAACUACGUGCCAGCAGCCGCGGUAAUCCGUAGGGUGCGAGCGUUAAUCGGAAUUACUAGGCGUAAAGCGUGCGCAGGCGGUUAUAUAAGACAGAUGUGAAAUCCCCGGGCUCAACCUGGGACCUGCAUUUGUGACUGUAUAGCUAGAGUACGGUAGAGGGGGAUGGAAUUCCGCGUGUAGCAGUGAAAUGCGUAGAUAUGCGGAGGAACACCGAUGGCGAAGGCUAUCCCCUGGACCUGUACUGACGCUCAUGCACGAAAGCGUGGGGAGCAAACAGGAUUAGAUACCCUGGUAGUCCACGCCCU
Molecule: ribosomal RNA, 454 nt
Filed under: uncultured bacterium
Lineage: Bacteria
Description: bacterial SSU rRNA
Rfam family: Bacterial small subunit ribosomal RNA
Source: RNAcentral